GCCUACGGGACGCAGCAGUGGGGAAUAUUGCACAAUGGGGGAAACCCUGAUGCAGCAACGCCGCGUGAGUGAAGAAGUAUUUCGAUAUGUAAAGCUCUAUCAGCAGGGAAGAAGAUGACGGUACCUGAGUAAGAAGCCCCGACUAACUACGUGCCAGCAGCCGCGGUAAUACGCAGGGGGCAAGCGUUAUCCGGAUUUAUUGGGGUUAAAGGGGGCGCAGGCGGCCUGUUAAGUCAGCGGUAAAAGACCGGGGCUCAACCCCGGCGAGCCGUUGAAACUGACGGGCUGGAGUUGGAGAG
Molecule: ribosomal RNA, 299 nt
Filed under: uncultured bacterium
Lineage: Bacteria
Description: partial 16S ribosomal RNA
Rfam family: Bacterial small subunit ribosomal RNA
Source: RNAcentral